Long non-coding RNA from Mus musculus (house mouse), 695 nucleotides. RefSeq annotates it as predicted gene, 40478. The record is from RefSeq and is marked validated. The transcript has 4 exons. NCBI's taxonomy places the organism in Eukaryota, Metazoa, Chordata, Mammalia, Rodentia, Muridae.
AGACUGGGAACAUACAGAGGGCUGGGAAGUUGGCCUACAAGGGCCAGGAGUAACUCCACACAUUCUUCCCACACCAAACCCCACACCUCUCUUAACAUUUCCUAAACUGCAUCCUUUAAAAGCUGGCAAAUUUUAAGUCAGGAACUUGGUCGUGCCAGCCAGUUGGAAACAUUGACCCGUCUUCCCUUCGGAUUGUGGCAGAUAGGAUGGGUCAGUGGAUAAGUUUGCUUGCCAAGGAGCCUGAGAGAGAAGCCUGAGUCCAGUUCCUAGAACUCACAUGGUGGAGAGAACUGACUUCUGAAAGUUGUCCUCUGAUAUUCACCAGGGCGACCAGAAAAUUUUGUUCCAUGUGAGGCUUGCACAAGCUCCAGUGUUACAGUUCCACGAACCAGAGUUAUUUUAGAUAACCAGGACUUCUGCUGGAUUCGAACCUCGAAAGUGUUGUGUUUCCCUACCUCUAAAAGCAGACUGCUUCCUUGUUAUCCUGGGUGGCAGGGCCUGAGUUCUCUUUCCUUGUCUGGAUGUACUGCAGGCUAUCUCCCCUCAUCUAGGGUUGAAGCCAACCUGGAAAGCUCUCUUCUGACUCCUAUCAUCUAUCCUAUCCUGGCUCACCCAGCUCUCAGACUCUACUACAAGGAUUCCUUUUGAAUGAAACAAACAAACAAACAAACCAGAAAUAAAAAAAAAAGGCAUGA